RNAcentral lists this ribosomal RNA (1423 nucleotides) under uncultured bacterium. RNAcentral describes it as "bacterial SSU rRNA". It matches the Rfam family "Bacterial small subunit ribosomal RNA". The record is from RNAcentral.
GGCGUGCCUAACACAUGCAAGUCGAGCGAGGAGAUUCCCUUCGGGGAUGAACCUAGCGGCGGACGGGUGAGUAACACGUGGGCAACCUGCCUUAUAGAGGGGAAUAGCCUUCCGAAAGGAAGAUUAAUACCGCAUAACAUUACAUUUUCGCAUGAAGAAGUAAUUAAAGGAGUAAUCCGCUAUAAGAUGGGCCCGCGGCGCAUUAGCUAGUUGGUGAGGUAACGGCUCACCAAGGCGACGAUGCGUAGCCGACCUGAGAGGGUGAUCGGCCACAUUGGGACUGAGACACGGCCCAGACUCCUACGGGAGGCAGCAGUGGGGAAUAUUGCACAAUGGGGGAAACCCUGAUGCAGCAACGCCGCGUGAGUGAUGAAGGUCUUCGGAUCGUAAAGCUCUGUCUUCAGGGACGAUAAUGACGGUACCUGAGGAGGAAGCCACGGCUAACUACGUGCCAGCAGCCGCGGUAAUACGUAGGUGGCGAGCGUUGUCCGGAUUUACUGGGCGUAAAGGGAGCGUAGGCGGAUUUUUAAGUGAGAUGUGAAAUACCCGGGCUCAACUUGGGUGCUGCAUUUCAAACUGGAAGUCUAGAGUGCAGGAGAGGAGAGUGGAAUUCCUAGUGUAGCGGUGAAAUGCGUAGAGAUUAGGAAGAACACCAGUGGCGAAGGCGACUCUCUGGACUGUAACUGACGCUGAGGCUCGAAAGCGUGGGGAGCAAACAGGAUUAGAUACCCUGGUAGUCCACGCCGUAAACGAAGAAUACUAGGUGUAGGGGGUGUCCUGACCUCUGUGCCGCCGCAAACGCAUUAAGUUUUCCGCCUGGGGAGUGCGGUUGCAAAAUUAAAAGUCAAAGGGAAUUGAGGGGGGCCCGCACAAGCAGCGGAGCUUGUGUUUAAUUUUGAAGCAACGCGAAGAACCUUACCUAGACUUGACAUCCCAUGAAUUAAUCUUAAUUGAGGAAGUCCCUUCGGGGACAGGAAGACAGGUGGUGCAUGGUUGUCGUCAGCUCAGUGUGCGUGAGAUGUUGGGUUAAGUCCCGCAACGAGCGCAACCCUUAUUGUUAGUUGCUUCCAUUAAGUUGAGCACUCUAGCAAGACUGCCCGGGUUAACUGGGAGGAAGGUGGGGAUGACGUCAAAUCAUCAUGCCCCUUAUGUCUAGGGCUACACACGUGCUCCAAUGGCAAGUACAAAAAGAUGCAAUCCCGCAAGGUGGAGCUAAACUUAAAAACUUGUCUCAGUUCGGAUUGUAGGCUGCAACUCGCCUACAUGAAGCUGGAGUUGCUAGUAAUCGCGAAUCAGAAUGUCGCGGUGAAUACGUUCCCGGGCCUUGUACACCCCGCCCGUCACACCAUGAGAGGUGGCACUACCCAAAGGUUGUGAGCUAACCCGUAAGGGAGGGAGCGACCUAAGGUAGGGUCAGCGAUUG